CUGGUGGCUCAGAUGGUAAAGAAACUGCCUGCAAUGCAGGAGACCUGGGUUUGAUCCCUGGGUCAGGAAGAUCCCCUGGAGAAGGAAAUGGCAACCCCCUCCAGUAUUCCUGCCUGGAGAAUUCCUUGGACAGA
Long non-coding RNA from Cervus elaphus (red deer), 134 nucleotides. RefSeq lists it as uncharacterized. NCBI's taxonomy places the organism in Eukaryota, Metazoa, Chordata, Mammalia, Artiodactyla, Cervidae. The transcript is spliced from 3 exons. The record is from RefSeq and is a predicted model, not a curated record.